Molecule: ribosomal RNA, 253 nt
Filed under: uncultured bacterium
Lineage: Bacteria
Description: partial 16S ribosomal RNA
Rfam family: Bacterial small subunit ribosomal RNA
Source: RNAcentral
UACGUAGGUGGCAAGCGUUGUCCGGAUUUACUGGGCGUAAAGGGCGUGCAGGCGGUCUGUUAAGUGCAGGGUGAAAGCUCCCGGCUCAACUGGGGAGGGUCACGCGAUACUGUUCGACUCGAAGGCAGGAGAGGGAAGCAGAAUUCCCGGUGUAGUGGUGAAAUGCGUAGAUAUCAGGAGGAAUACCAGUGGCGAAGGCGGCUUCCUGGCCUGUUCUUGACGCUGAGGCGCGAAAGCUAGGGUAGCAAACGGG